CAUAGAUGUCCAAGAGUUGGACAUGAUUAAAUUAGAUUUGAUCUAAUUUAUUUUCAUGGUCCAUAAGAUGGAUGGUUCUUCUCUACUUUUUCUAAAUCUAGUCCAAGGGUUAGAUAAGAAAGGAAGAAGAAAGUGAUUUGAUCUAUUGUCUUCCUUAGUAGAUCUUUAAUUUUCUCUUAAGAAGAAAAAAUAAAAAAAAAUAGAUAUGAUUUGAUUUCAAUAUCCCCCUAUAGAUCUGGUUAAUUC
Molecule: long non-coding RNA, 246 nt
Filed under: Elaeis guineensis (African oil palm)
Lineage: Eukaryota; Viridiplantae; Streptophyta; Magnoliopsida; Arecales; Arecaceae
Description: long non-coding RNA (EGUI_LNC069355)
Source: RNAcentral